AAAGGAAGUUGACGGGGAGCACCACAACGGUGGAGCCUGCGGUUUAAUUGGAUCAACGCCGGAAAGCUUACCGGGGCGACAGCAAUAUGAAGGUCAGGCUGAAGACCUUACCGGAUUCGCUGAGAGGUGGUGCAUGGCCGUCGUCAGUUCGUACUGUGAAGCAUCCUGUUAAGUCAGGCAACGAGCGAGACCCACGCCCACAGUUGCCAGCGAUCCCUCCGGGGAGGCGGGUACUCUGUGGGGACCGCCGCUGCUAAAGCGGAGGAAGGAAUGGGCAACGGUAGGUCAGUAUGCCCCGAAUCCCCCGGGCUACACGCGGGCUACAAUGGUCGGCACAAUGGGUACCGACCCCGAGAGGGGUAGGCAAUCUCCUAAAGCCGAUCGUAGUUCGGAUUGAGGGCUGAAACUCGCCCUCAUGAAGCUGGAAUCGCUAGUAAUCGCGGAUCAGCACGCCGCGGUGAAUACGUUCCCGGGCCUU
This 478-nucleotide ribosomal RNA is filed under the name uncultured Methanosaeta sp. RNAcentral describes it as "bacterial SSU rRNA". It matches the Rfam family "Archaeal small subunit ribosomal RNA", at positions 858 to 1338 of the family's 1478-position model. The record is from RNAcentral. Lineage: Archaea; Methanobacteriati; Methanobacteriota; Methanomicrobia; Methanotrichales; Methanotrichaceae.